ACUCAGCCAACUCAGCCACACAAUAUGGAAUCCAAUAACACAAUACACACAACCAACUAAAGGUAGACGUGUAAUCUAACUCCCCACCCAUUUUCUUUGCUUUAUUCUCACAUCUUAUAUCUGGCUUGAGCUCCUCACAGCCACCCCCGUGUAAUGCAAUAAUCCUGUGUAAUCUUCUUUUCUUUCUCCCAGAACCCACCAUCAAGAACCAAGAAAGAAAACCCUAGACUACUUGAAGAAUGAAGUCUUGUCUUCCAUUAGAACCAAGCAAAACUCAUCACCAACUUAUCCAUAAUAAUCACAUUGAAACACAGAGUUUCUUGUCCUAUGAACAUCAUCAUCAUUACCAAGAAAGUGAUGCGAAGAAGAUUACUGAUUUAAAAUGCAUACCCUCAAAGACUCCGACCCUCCCAGUACUCCGUCAGGCAGGAGAUGAUGCAAUGAAGGCGGUUAGAGAAGAACAGUUAUUGCAGGAUGAUUGUGGACGUGAAAGGCUCAAGAGACAUAGGAUUGAGGCUGCAGGUAGUGUUUGGAUCCCUGAUAUUUGGGGUCAUGAGGAGCUUUUGAAGGAUUGGAUUGAUUGUUCUGUGUUCGAAGCUUCUUUAAUGCCUAACAGGAUUAUGUGCGCUCGUGCAGCUUUGGUUGAACAAGGAAGAAGAAGAACUUCCUGCACUCCUGGAAGAUUAAGAAUAGAAAACAGGUGUUGAUCCAUUAUGAUCAUAUCAUUGUUUUGAUAUUAUUAGUUGGGCGUGGGGGGGAGUGUCGGGGUGUGGGGUGGUGGUGAUAUGGUUAUUUAAUUAUUCCCUGAUUAUUAUGAAAUUCAAUUACUUUGUUUCUAAGAAUGAGAUUUUCGAAUUAACAGAUGAAUUGAGAUUACUAAAAUCUGUAAUAGAUGGAACGAAUUGUGUCCACUCCACCUGAGCUUGGUUUUGAGAUGUGGACCAUGUGGACCUGAGCUUGAUUAGAUAUUGAACCGGAGCCACAAAAAAGCAGCCUCCACAGCUGCUGCUUCUAUUUCAGGUUUGGUAUGAUGUAAUUGAAUGUAAUAAUAAAAUUAAAUUUCAAUAUUUUUUUAUUGAAAUUUCGUUGUGAUUAUAAUUCAUCAGAUUCAAUUAUACUACCAGAUAAAAUUACAUCCCCUAUCAGAAAACCAGCCCAAGAACCAUAUCGAUCUAAUCUGAAUAGGAAGUCCAUGAAUCUGAACCAAUCCAAUUCGGCUCAAAUCAAAUAAGCAAUAAAAAGAAAAAAAAAAUCAAUUGAUUUGAUUAGAGUCGAACUAAAUUCCAAAACUUUUACAAUCAGGCCUCAAUUCCAUGGUUUCGGAGAUGGAACUGGACAGACCCAACCAGGACUGAAAUUUUGAUCCGCAGAGUGUUAAAAACUGUUGACAUGAUUCAAUUGUUAAGCUCAGGGCUGCCCACCAUACUUUUACAGAAUGAUCUCAGCUGAGAAGGAGUUGGAUGUCCUGCAUGUGCUUCUUCCCUACGUUCUAGUGCUUUAGAUGAAAGGGAUUCCGAUAACUGUGGCUGAUGCCUGGGCUUGCCGCUGAUCUUCGGGCUGUGUUUUAUGGUUAGGUACCUCUUUGAGAUUUUAACGAUGCCACAUUCAAUAUGCGAGCAUUCGACCUUUUACUGGAGCCUAAAGGAGCUUUGCCGAUUGCCUAUUGAUUCUUUGUGUUAUUCUGUCCUCUCUUCGGUCACAUUUGAUUGUAAUGGCUAAAUCCUUUUCAGACUUCAUCGAUUGUUCUCUUUGUAAAUGUAAUGGAUUCUCUUAUUUAUGUUCUUAAUGUCACAUUGUCA
This 1799-nucleotide unclassified non-coding RNA is filed under the name Hevea brasiliensis (rubber tree). The record is from RNAcentral. Lineage: Eukaryota; Viridiplantae; Streptophyta; Magnoliopsida; Malpighiales; Euphorbiaceae.